UGAAGAACGGUGUUAACGGCGUCAACGGCCAAUCGGCAGCUUCCGUAACCACUACCACAGUAACACCAACACCAACAGCCCCAAUCAUUGAUAGCAACGGUGUCCAGUACAAACUCACAAACGGCCAAACGAGGACAUCACCC
This 143-nucleotide non-coding RNA is filed under the name Chaetoceros affinis. The record is from RNAcentral. Lineage: Eukaryota; Bacillariophyta; Thalassiosirophyceae; Chaetocerotales; Chaetocerotaceae.